RNAcentral lists this ribosomal RNA (339 nucleotides) under Kheper bonellii. RNAcentral's name for it is "partial 16S ribosomal RNA". The record is from RNAcentral. Lineage: Eukaryota; Metazoa; Arthropoda; Insecta; Coleoptera; Scarabaeidae.
AAAGUCUGGCCUGCCCUAUGAAUAUUUUUAAAUGGCUGCGGUACUUUGACCGUGCAAAGGUAGCAUAAUCAUUAGUUUUUUAAUUGAGAACUGGAAUGAAAGGUUUGACGAAGAAAAUACUGUCUCAAUUUAAUUUAAAUUAGAAUUUUAUUUUUAAGUAAAAAAGCUUAAAUAAUUUUAAAAGACGAGAAGACCCUAUAGAAUUUUAUAUUAUAUUAAAUAUUUAGAGAUUUAAGUAUAUAUAAUUUAAAUAUUUAUUAUAAUAUUUAGUUGGGGCAACUGAAAAAUUUAAUGAACUUUUUUUAUAUUUUAAACAUUAAUUUAUGAUUAAAUGAUCCA